Molecule: ribosomal RNA, 454 nt
Filed under: uncultured Prevotella sp.
Lineage: Bacteria; Pseudomonadati; Bacteroidota; Bacteroidia; Bacteroidales; Prevotellaceae
Description: bacterial SSU rRNA
Rfam family: Bacterial small subunit ribosomal RNA
Source: RNAcentral
ACGGGAGGCAGCAGUGAGGAAUAUUGGUCAAUGGGCGGAAGCCUGAACCAGCCAAGUAGCGUGCAGGAUGACGGCCCUAUGGGUUGUAAACUGCUUUUGUCAGGGAAUAAAAAGGACUACGUGUAGUCCAUUGCAUGUACCUGAAGAAUAAGGACCGGCUAAUUCCGUGCCAGCAGCCGCGGUAAUACGGAAGGUCCGGGCGUUAUCCGGAUUUAUUGGGUUUAAAGGGAGCGCAGGCGGCGAUUUAAGCGUGUUGUGAAAUGUAGGAGCUCAACUUCUGCACUGCAGCGCGAACUGGAUUGCUUGAGUACGCGGGAAGUAGGCGGAAUUCGUCGUGUAGCGGUGAAAUGCUUAGAUAUGACGAAGAACUCCGAUUGCGAAGGCAGCUGUCCGGGGUGUAACUGACGCUAAUGCUCGAAAGUGCGGGUAUCAAACAGGAUUAGAUACCCUGGUA